Molecule: ribosomal RNA, 240 nt
Filed under: uncultured Lactobacillus sp.
Lineage: Bacteria; Bacillati; Bacillota; Bacilli; Lactobacillales; Lactobacillaceae
Description: partial 16S ribosomal RNA
Rfam family: Bacterial small subunit ribosomal RNA
Source: RNAcentral
CCGUAGCCCAAGAGAUCGGGAUAACACCUGGAAACAGAUGCUAAUACCGGAUAACAAUAGAUGAUGCCUAUCAACUGUUUAAAAGAUGGUUCUGCUAUCACUCUUGGAUGGACCUGCGGUGCAUUAGCUAGUUGGUAGGGUAACGGCCUACCAAGGCGAUGAUGCAUAGCCGAGUUGAGAGACUGAUCGGCCACAUUGGGACUGAGACACGGCCCAAACUCCUACGGGAGGCAGCCAGCU